Molecule: ribosomal RNA, 251 nt
Filed under: uncultured bacterium
Lineage: Bacteria
Description: partial 16S ribosomal RNA
Rfam family: Bacterial small subunit ribosomal RNA
Source: RNAcentral
AGUAACGCGUAGGUAACCUGCCUUGUAGCGGGGGAUAACUAUUGGAAACGAUAGCUAAUACCGCAUAACAAUGGAUGACCCAUGUCAUUUAUUUGAAAGGGGCAAUUGCUCCACUACAAGAUGGACCUGCGUUGUAUUAGCUAGUAGGUGAGGUAAUGGCUCACCUAGGCGACGAUACAUAGCCGACCUGAGAGGGUGAUCGGCCACACUGGGACUGAGACACGGCCCAGACUCCUACGGGAGGCAGCAUG